This 497-nucleotide ribosomal RNA is filed under the name uncultured bacterium. RNAcentral describes it as "partial 16S ribosomal RNA". It matches the Rfam family "Bacterial small subunit ribosomal RNA", at positions 28 to 507 of the family's 1533-position model. The record is from RNAcentral.
GAUGAACGCUGGCGGCGUGCCUAAUACAUGCAAGUCGAGCGAACAGACGAGGAGCUUGCUCCUCUGACGUUAGCGGCGGACGGGUGAGUAACACGUGGAUAACCUACCUAUAAGACUGGGAUAACUUCGGGAAACCGGAGCUAAUACCGGAUAAUAUAUUGAAUCGCAUGGUUCAAUAGUGAAAGACGGUUUUGCUGUCACUUAUAGAUGGAUCCGCGCCGCAUUAGCUAGUUGGUAAGGUAACGGCUUACCAAGGCAACGAUGCGUAGCCGACCUGAGAGAGUGAUCGGCCACACUGGAACUGAGACACGGUCCAGACUCCUACGGGAGGCAGCAGUAGGGAAUCUUCCGCAAUGGGCGAAAGCCUGACGAAGCAACGCCGCGUGAGUGAUGAAGGUCUUCAGAUCGUAAAACUCUGUUAUUAGGGAAGAACAAAUGUGUAAGUAACUAUGCACGUCUUGACGGUACCUAAUCAGAAAGCCACGGCUAACUACGUG